This 407-nucleotide long non-coding RNA is filed under the name Hordeum vulgare. Its description in RNAcentral is "long non-coding RNA (HVUL_LNC002035)". Lineage: Eukaryota; Viridiplantae; Streptophyta; Magnoliopsida; Poales; Poaceae. The record is from RNAcentral.
CAGAUCAGAUUGAGGCCACCAUCGAGCGAGAUUGCCUCUCCAGCAGGCCCACCUUUCUCCUCCUUCCUCUCUUACAUAUCAUUUUUUCUUUUUCUCUUAGCCAUGAGCACGAGCAUGCAGUGAGCGGGGCAGCCUCGGGGGUGAGCGCAGCGGCGCGACGUUGCAGCCUGGCAUGCGGGUGGGCAGUGCCGGUCCUCUACGCACGCCGGCGGUCAUCUCCAGGCACGGAGAGCUGCAGUCGUAGGGCAAGGUGGGGGCGCGGUGACCUGUUGUUGCAGGGAAAGGCCGGGGGCGGCGACAGCUCCAGGGCGAGGCGGGGCCGACCGGGCGUGGCGAGGGCGGGAGCACAGGUGGGCAACUGGCGCUUUGGCGAGCGAGAUUGAGCGCAUAGGCCGGCGCGGUGGGGA